AACGAACGCUGGCGGCAUGCCUAACACAUGCAAGUCGAACGAGACCUUCGGGUCUAGUGGCGCACGGGUGCGUAACGCGUGGGAACCUGCCCUUAGGUUCGGAAUAACUCCCCGAAAGGGGUGCUAAUACCGGAUAAUGUCUUCGGACCAAAGAUUUAUCGCCUUUGGAUGGGCCCGCGUUGGAUUAGCUAGUUGGUAGGGUAAAAGCCUACCAAGGCGACGAUCCAUAGCUGGUCUGAGAGGAUAAUCAGCCACACUGGGACUGAGACACGGCCCAGACUCCUACGGGAGGCAGCAGUGGGGAAUAUUGGACAAUGGGCGAAAGCCUGAUCCAGCAAUGCCGCGUGAGUGAUGAAGGCCUUAGGGUUGUAAAGCUCUUUUACCCGGGAUGAUAAUGACAGUACCGGGAGAAUAAACUCCGGCUAACUCCGU
This 432-nucleotide ribosomal RNA is filed under the name uncultured bacterium. Its description in RNAcentral is "partial 16S ribosomal RNA". It matches the Rfam family "Bacterial small subunit ribosomal RNA", at positions 29 to 506 of the family's 1533-position model. The record is from RNAcentral.